UACGUAGGGCGCAAGCGUUGUCCGGAAUUAUUGGGCGUAAAGAGCUCGUAGGCGGCCAGUUGCGUCUGCUGUGAAAUCCCGGGGCUCAACCCCGGGCGUGCAGUGGAUACGGGCUGGCUAGAGGCAGGCAGGGGAGAACGGAAUUCCCGGUGUAGCGGUGAAAUGCGCAGAUAUCGGGUGGAACACCGGUGGCGAAGGCGGUUCUCUGGGCCUGUACUGACGCUGAGGAGCGAAAGCGUGGGGAGCGAACAGG
This 253-nucleotide ribosomal RNA is filed under the name uncultured bacterium. RNAcentral describes it as "partial 16S ribosomal RNA". It matches the Rfam family "Bacterial small subunit ribosomal RNA", at positions 524 to 776 of the family's 1533-position model. The record is from RNAcentral.